This 240-nucleotide unclassified non-coding RNA is filed under the name soil metagenome. RNAcentral's name for it is "partial contains 5.8S ribosomal RNA, internal transcribed spacer 2, and large subunit ribosomal RNA". The record is from RNAcentral.
AACGCACGAGACCUGCGGACCUGCGGAAGGAUCAUUACAGAGUUGCAAAACUCCCAAACCAUUGUGAACGUUACCUUCUCGUUGCUUCGGCGGGCGGCCCGGGUCCUUCCCGGCGCCCCCCGGCCCCUCGCGGGCGCCCGCCGGAGGUAAACCAAACUCUUGAAUUGUAUGGCCUCUCUGAGUCUUCUGUACUGAAUAAGUCAAAACUUUUAGCAAUGGAUCUCUAGAUCGGAAGAGCAC